Molecule: ribosomal RNA, 503 nt
Filed under: uncultured Hyphomicrobiales bacterium
Lineage: Bacteria; Pseudomonadati; Pseudomonadota; Alphaproteobacteria; Hyphomicrobiales
Description: bacterial SSU rRNA
Rfam family: Bacterial small subunit ribosomal RNA
Source: RNAcentral
AANAUUUAUCGGCUUAAGAUGAGCCCGCGUUGGAUUAGCUGGUUGGUGGGGUAAAGGCCUACCAAGGCGACGAUCCAUAGCUGGUCUGAGAGGAUGAUCAGCCACACUGGGACUGAGACACGGCCCAGACUCCUACGGGAGGCAGCAGUGGGGAAUAUUGGACAAUGGGCGCAAGCCUGAUCCAGCCAUGCCGCGUGAGUGAAGAAGGCCUUAGGGUUGUAAAGCUCUUUCACCGGUGAAGAUAAUGACGGUAGCCGGAGAAGAAGCCCCGGCUAACUUCGUGCCAGCAGCCGCGGUAAUACGAAGGGGGCUAGCGUUGUUCGGAUUUACUGGGCGUAAAGCGCGCGUAGGCGGAUAGAUAAGUCAGAGGUGAAAUCCCGGGGCUCAACCCCGGAAUUGCCUUUGAUACUGUUUAUCUUGAGUGCAGAAGAGGUAAGUGGAAUUCCGAGUGUAGAGGUGAAAUUCGUAGAUAUUCGGAGGAACACCAGUGGCGAAGGCGGCUU